UAUAUAUAGUAUGUUAACAGUGCUCCAAUAGAAUGCACAGUUAUCCUGAAGACCCGUACCAGAUUGAUGUACAGUAAUUAACACUGUAUCGCCACUUGAUCGAGUAUUUUUAUAGAACAUUUGCAGUUUUGUUGUUUAAUUAAUUGCGAUUGUUGGAUAAUAUAAAGAUCGUUCAAUAUGUUUAAGGUUCUGGCUAUUGACCAGUGUCAAAAAAUGGGAAAGCCAUUGGCUGCUGUGCAACCACUGCAGUGUAUAAAGGUGUCACAUGUCUGGGAGCUAAUCGGAAUAGAUCUAACUGGACCUCUUCCAAAAACGUCUAGUGGCUUCCAGUACAUUAUGACUGCAACAGACUAUUUUUCAAAAUGGGUUGAGGCUUUUCCAUUAAAAAGCAAAAGUGCUGCUGAGGUAGCUCAUCAGUUGUGCUCACUCAUAUAUAGACAUGGCUCCCAAAACGAAUUUUAUCCGACCAAGGAAGAGAAUUUGUUAACGAGCUCAACUCAAGACUUUGCAGCUUAAUGAAAAUAGAAGUGUCACAGCAGCGCAUCACCCUCAGACAAAUGGCCUCGACGAAAAGACAAAUGACAACAUAAA
Molecule: long non-coding RNA, 591 nt
Organism: Oreochromis niloticus (Nile tilapia)
Lineage: Eukaryota; Metazoa; Chordata; Actinopteri; Cichliformes; Cichlidae
Exons: 3
Source: RefSeq, a predicted model, not a curated record